Molecule: ribosomal RNA, 510 nt
Filed under: uncultured bacterium
Lineage: Bacteria
Description: bacterial SSU rRNA
Rfam family: Bacterial small subunit ribosomal RNA
Source: RNAcentral
GAUUAUGGCUCAGGAUGAACGCUAGCGACAGGCUUAACACAUGCAAGUCGAGGGGCAGCAUAGAAGUAGCAAUACUUGGUGGCGACCGGCGCACGGGUGAGUAACGCGUAUGCAACCUACCUAUCAGAGGGGAAUAACCCGGCGAAAGUCGGACUAAUACCGCAUAAAACAGGGGCACCGCAUGGUGAUAUUUGUUAAAGAAAUUCGCUGAUAGAUGGGCAUGCGUUCCAUUAGGUAGUUGGUGAGGUAACGGCUCACCAAGCCGACGAUGGAUAGGGGAACUGAGAGGUUGGUCCCCCACACUGGUACUGAGACACGGACCAGACUCCUACGGGAGGCAGCAGUGAGGAAUAUUGGUCAAUGGGCGGGAGCCUGAACCAGCCAAGUCGCGUGAAGGAAGAAGGAUCUAUGGUUCGUAAACUUCUUUUGCAGGGGAAUAAAGUGCAGGACGUGUCCUGUUUUGUAUGUACCCUGAGAAUAAGGAUCGGCUAACUCCGUGCCAGCCGCCGC